Molecule: microRNA precursor, 84 nt
Filed under: Bombyx mori (domestic silkworm)
Lineage: Eukaryota; Metazoa; Arthropoda; Insecta; Lepidoptera; Bombycidae
Description: mir-2807 microRNA precursor family
Rfam family: mir-2807 microRNA precursor family
Source: Rfam by way of RNAcentral
UGAACUCAGAUUUGUAUGCAGUUGGAACAGCGCCCCUAGCGGCAAACGUAGGCAAACGUUCCAAUUCCAUACAAAAUUGAGGUA